Long non-coding RNA from Anopheles moucheti, 430 nucleotides. RefSeq lists it as uncharacterized. Lineage: Eukaryota; Metazoa; Arthropoda; Insecta; Diptera; Culicidae. The record is from RefSeq and is a predicted model, not a curated record. The transcript has 3 exons.
UGCUUGUAAAGUUCGCAGGUUGCGCGGACCAUUUUACCCGUUUUUUCCCCAAAUAUUUCUUGCCCUUUUCGCUUCCGGACCGGGGCCCGGCCAUUGUUUGUUUGAUGUGAAAACAGAGCAACCAUUUGUAAUCGAUUAAGAUCAAUUAUCUGAAGACGUGAAAUGUCGAUUGUGCCAAGUGUGUGAACAAGCUUCUGCGACUACACCUCCCUGUAUGGUUUCAUCUCGGUCAAUCAACACGGGCACCUGCUUGACUUGAUGUACUGUUUGCCGUAACGAGGAGGAGGACAUUCGACUUAAAAUAGAUUCAUCAUAGCCGUGGUAGCGAAGACCAAUGCCAUCAGUACCCACGUGGUAACACACGAUGUGGUACACCGGUUUGCGAAGGAGGCGGAGAAAGUGAUUUUUCUAACUACUUACUACUUAUAAC